Molecule: microRNA, 21 nt
Filed under: Apopellia endiviifolia
Lineage: Eukaryota; Viridiplantae; Streptophyta; Jungermanniopsida; Pelliales; Pelliaceae
Description: microRNA 8178
Source: RNAcentral
UGGGGUCCUAUAAGUCAUCAA